RNAcentral lists this ribosomal RNA (253 nucleotides) under Malikia spinosa. RNAcentral describes it as "partial 16S ribosomal RNA". It matches the Rfam family "Bacterial small subunit ribosomal RNA", at positions 524 to 776 of the family's 1533-position model. The record is from RNAcentral. Lineage: Bacteria; Pseudomonadati; Pseudomonadota; Betaproteobacteria; Burkholderiales; Comamonadaceae. RNAcentral also lists the same sequence under 2 other names.
UACGUAGGGUGCAAGCGUUAAUCGGAAUUACUGGGCGUAAAGCGUGCGCAGGCGGUUUUGUAAGACAGGCGUGAAAUCCCCGGGCUCAACCUGGGAAUGGCGCUUGUGACUGCAAAGCUGGAGUGCGGCAGAGGGGGAUGGAAUUCCGCGUGUAGCAGUGAAAUGCGUAGAUAUGCGGAGGAACACCAAUGGCGAAGGCAAUCCCCUGGGCCUGCACUGACGCUCAUGCACGAAAGCGUGGGGAGCAAACAGG